GUAGGUGAACCUGCGGAGGGAUCAUUACCGAGCUAGGGUCUCACCGGCCCGAUCUCCCAACCCUUUGUCUACUUGACCAUCGUUGCUUCGGCGAGCCCGUCCUCACGGACCGCCGGGGGGUCUUUGUACCCCUUGGCCCGCGCUCGUCGACAGCCCCCAAAUUUAAAAAAUCUUAACUAAACGUGUCUUGAAUCUAAGUAUUAUUGUUAAAUAAAAACAAAACUUUCAACAACGGAUCUCUUGGUUCUGGCAUCGAUGAAGAACGCAGCGAAAUGCGAUAAGUAAUGCGAAUUGCAGAAUUCCAGUGAGUCAUCGAAUCUUUGAACGCACAUUGCGCCCUUUGGUAUUCCGAAGGGCAUGCCUGUUCGAGCGUCAUUAUCACCCCUCAAGCCCUCGGCUUGGUGUUGGACGGCUUGGUGGAGACCCCCUUUGCGGGCUUCUACCCCUCCCAAAGACAAUGACGGCGGCCUCGUUGGACCCCCGGUACACUGAGUUCUUCACGGGACACGUAUCGGACACAUGGGUUCACGGGACACGGUCUGCCUCCCCUCAGGGAGAAUCUUUUUUUAUCAAGGUUGACCUCGGAUCAGGUAGGGAUACCCGCUGAACUUAA
This 613-nucleotide ribosomal RNA is filed under the name uncultured Exophiala. Its description in RNAcentral is "eukaryotic LSU rRNA". The stretch from base 221 to 375 matches the Rfam family "5.8S ribosomal RNA". The record is from RNAcentral. Lineage: Eukaryota; Fungi; Ascomycota; Eurotiomycetes; Chaetothyriales; Herpotrichiellaceae.